RNAcentral lists this ribosomal RNA (1203 nucleotides) under uncultured Acinetobacter sp. RNAcentral's name for it is "bacterial SSU rRNA". It matches the Rfam family "Bacterial small subunit ribosomal RNA", at positions 346 to 1533 of the family's 1533-position model. The record is from RNAcentral. Lineage: Bacteria; Pseudomonadati; Pseudomonadota; Gammaproteobacteria; Moraxellales; Moraxellaceae.
UGCCUACCUCGGAUUAGUCGGGGCAGGGCGCAGCCUGAUCAGCCAUGCCGCGGCGUGUGUGAAGAAGGCCUUCAUGGUUGUAAGAAGCACUUUAAGCGAGGAGGAGGCUACUUUAGUUAAUACCUAGAGAUAGUGGACGUUACUCGCAAAAAAAGCACCGGCUAAUUCUGUGCCAGCAGCCGCGGUAAUACAAAGGGGGCAAGCGUUAAUCGAAUUUACUGGGCGUAAAGCUUUGCGCGUAGGCGGCUAAUUAAGUCAAAUGUGAAAUCGCCCGAGCUUAACUUGGGAAUUGCAUUCAAUACUGGUUAGCUAAAUCCGUGUGGGAGAGGAUGGUAAAAUUCCAGGUGUACCGGUGAAAUGCGUAAAGAUCUGGAGAAAUACCGAUGGCAAAGGCAGCCAUCUGGCCUAACACUGACGCUGAGGUGCGAAAGCAUGGGGAGCAAACAGGAUUAGAUACCCUGGUAGUCCAUUCCGUAAACGAUGUCUACUAGCCGUUGGGGCCUUUGAGGCUUUAGUGGCGCAGCUAACGCGAUAAGUACACCGCCUGGGGAGUACGGUCGCUAAAAGGCUCAAGUACCUCAAAUGAAUUGACGGGGGCCCGCACAAGCGGUGGAGCAUGUGGUUUAAUUCGAUGCAACGCGAAAAACCUUACCUGGCCUUGACAUAGAAAGAACUUUCCAGAGAUGGAUUGGUGCCUUCGGAAACUUACAUACAGGUGCUGCAUGGCUGUCCUCAGCUCGUGUCGUGAGAUGUUGGGUUACUAAUUUAAGUCCCGCAACGAGCGCAACCCUUUUCCUUAUUUGCCAGCGAGUAAUGUCGGGAACUUUAAGGAUACUGCCAGUGACAAACUGGAGAAAGGCGGGAAACAACUUCAAGUCAUCAUGGCCCUUAGUACCCCUUACGGCCAGGCUACACACGUGCUACAAUGGUCGGUACAAAGGGUUGCUACCUAGCGACUAAUAGGAUGCUAAUCUCAAAAAGCCGAUCGUACUCCGGAAUUGAAGUCUGCAACUCCACUCAUGAAGUCGAAAUCACUAGUAGUCGCGAAUCAAAAUGCCCCGGUGAAUACUUUUUCCCGGCCUUAAUCUCGUACACCCCCCCUCCCACCCGCGGGAGGUUUUUACACCAAAAUAGCUUACGACUCCAAAGACAGAAAAGGCGCUGCCCGGGGCCAGAUACUAGGAAAGACCCCGACCCCUAAAC